Molecule: RNA transcript, 1159 nt
Organism: Sapajus apella (tufted capuchin)
Lineage: Eukaryota; Metazoa; Chordata; Mammalia; Primates; Cebidae
Gene name: myosin phosphatase Rho-interacting protein-like
Exons: 3
Source: RefSeq, a predicted model, not a curated record
AUGGCCCAAGCUGGCCAAUGGAGCCUCACAAUUAUUAACUUCUUAAUAUCUGCUGCACAUCCUCACAACACCUCUCUGAUGGGAGAUGCCUACGAGCUGGAAGUCUUAUUGCGGGUCAAGGAAUCAGAAAUACCAUACUUGAAACGAGAUUAGCUCCCUCAAGGACGAGCUGCAGACGGCACUUCGGGACAAGAAGUACGCUAGCGACAAGUACAAAGACAUCUACACAGAGCUCAGCAUUGCGAAGGCUAAGGCUGACUGUGACAUCAGCAGGUUGAAGGAGCAGCUCAAGGCUGCAACAGAAGCACUGGGGGAAAAGUCCCCUGACAGUGCCACGGUGUUGGGAUACGAUAUAAUGAAAUCUAAAAGCAACCCUGACUUCUUGAAGAAAGAUAGAUCCUGUGUCGCCCGGCAACUCAGAAACAUCAGGUCCAAGAGUCUGAAGGAAGGCCUGACGGUGCAAGAACGGUUGAAGCUCUUUGAAUCCAGGGACCUGAAGAGAGGCUAGCUGUGUCCUGUCCAAGUUGAGCAUGCGCCUUCCCCAGCUUGCAGCAGGACACCCUGAGCGCUGCUUUUCACCUGUACCUUUGUUUUAUUAUUAUUAUUGCUGUUGUCAUCGUUAACUGUGGGCAUGGAAUGCGUGAGGCUGGCUUCUGGGUUGUCCACACCACUCUGCUGUGUUGACUUCCUGUUGUUUUCAUCAAAGCUUUUCUCCAUGGUAUUGUAAAAUUAGGCCAGCAUUGGGGGCUGGGAGGGCAUCUGUGUUAGUCCCUUCCUGGCUGUGACCCGCUGCACUCACUGUCAGUAUUAAGGCCCAGCAGCCUGUUGAUAAGCUACCCUGUCUCACCACGUGCUGGUGUGGAAACAGGGCCCAGCCAGCAUGCCUCAAGGUAGAUGGAAUGGUCAGAGAAAAAGCCAUGCGGACACUCCAGCUUGGCCUGGGUCACAGCACUGACUCCUCACCGCUAGUCUGGCUGUUAGAGGAGGAGGUGCGUUGCCUUCCGGCCUGGCAGGAGAACAGUAUUUUGUAUUUGUUCCACUGAUGCAGAUUAGAACCACACCCCUGAUAAUCAUGGCAAACCUUUCACAACCUGGAAAAUGUUGAAAGCAACGAUUCCUAUUUUUGUUUUUUAUUAAAUCUUGCACACACAAAAAAAAA